GGGCUGCUGAGGCCCACGCCCCUCCUCUCCACAGGGCCUGCAGCCCUCAGCCAUCACUCGCGGCCCUCCUGCCCCGGCCCCCGCCCUGGGCCCCCAGCCCCAUGUCCCAGGUGUGUCCCCUGACAAGUUCCUGCGUAUUUAAUUCUGCUCAGCCAAAGGACGGGACGGACGGGGUCUUGAAAACGGGUGCUGCCUGGCAGCCAGGACGCAGGUGGAGUGAGUCCAGGUUAGAGCUCCUCCCUGCUGAGGGCAGCCUCGAAACAGCCACCACUCUGCCUCGGUGGCUGGUGUGUCCAGGAGGCGGGGACACGAGUAGGGAGGCCUCUCUCCCCCUGGGCACCAGUUCCUGGCCCUGGUGGGGGCGGCAGAGGACCUGGUGCCUGGACCUGCCACCCCUGCCCGCCCCUGCCGGGCUUGGCCCUCUGCUCCCGGCACCUGGACCUCCCCAGAAUCACCCUGCCUUGCCCUCACGGGGGACAGGAGCCCCAGAGCGACCCGGCCAGCGCCAGAGGGGUCAUUUUGGAGCCAGCUGUGCGGACGCAGACUGGCAGGCCCAGCUCGGCGGGGGAGGAGCCGUGGGGCGCAGCCAGACUCCACACCGGAGGCCAGCUCAGGCGCAGGGGGCACCCGCUUUUCUCCUUCCCAGUGGCCACAAGCCCAGGCCUCUCAUCCCUGCACCUCCCAGAACCCAGUGGCUGGGUCUCCACGCCCUGGCCAGCUGCCAGCCGGGCUGGCUCGGGCACAAAGGCAGCUCUGUUGGGGAACCCGGGUGGAGGCCCAGCUGGCUCCAGAGGGGUCUGCCCCGACCAGCCUUGGCAGGAGGUCCUGGCAGGGCGGUGCCUCAGGAGCACCGAGGGCCAGGCCCUCAGAACGGCAGAGUAGGAGGCCUUAGCUUGGCCCUCGCCUCCCUGGGAGCCCCGAGGUGGCAGCUCAGGAGGGACCCGUGCCCAGCCCUACCGAGAGCUGCCCCAGGAGCACCUGGCUCUGACGGCAGGCAGGGCUGAGCUCGCCCCCAU
This 1016-nucleotide long non-coding RNA is filed under the name Marmota monax (woodchuck). The record is from RNAcentral. Lineage: Eukaryota; Metazoa; Chordata; Mammalia; Rodentia; Sciuridae.